Caenorhabditis elegans is the source of this 527-nucleotide long non-coding RNA. Ensembl annotates it as ncRNA. Its record names the gene linc-5. The record is from Ensembl. NCBI's taxonomy places the organism in Eukaryota, Metazoa, Nematoda, Chromadorea, Rhabditida, Rhabditidae.
AUUUCAGAAGGCAAGAUGUGAGAGCUCUGAUUCUUCGACAAACGUUUUGGGCAUUGACACCGUUUCGUUAAUCAAAAAAAAAUGCAUUUACACGUAUUAUAAAUUCUCGAGUUCCAAUAAUCCCUUCUUCGAAACAUGAAAAACUGAUGUGAUGAAAAUUCUGUGAUUGGAGACGACGUGCAGCUUUGGCGACACAUUCACAGUCCCGACUUCUUCAGGAUGCCCACGACUGUGAUACUCUCGCAUAGCUAUUCCUCGUCCCCGAUGCGAUUCAAUGUGAUUAACUCAUCUGUUUUACUACUACAACAACUACUUCUUCCCACUGUCGAUGAUAUUUUUUCCCUGAUAAUCUGUAUUUGAUAUUUUCCAGUCUGUGUCUCUUUACCACCGUGAUUCAAUAUCUAUGAUAUUUUUUGUAUUAUCUCGCUUUAUGACCGUGAUUACCAAUAAUUAACGAAUAAUGAAUAUUUAAACCGAAAAUCGUGUAAACUUGAAGAAUGUCGCAUGAAUGAAUUAGCUUUAUUAUG